AACGGCGAGUGAAGAGGGAAGAGCUCAAAUUUGAAAUCUGGCGGCCUUACGGUCGUCCGAGUUGUAAUCUAGAGAAGUGUUUUCCUGCUGGACCGUGUACAAGUCCUUUGGAACAAGGCGUCAUAGAGGGUGAGAAUCCCGUCUACGACACGGACUACCAGUGCUCUGUGAUACACUCUCAACGAGUCGAGUUGUUUGGGAAUGCAGCUCAAAAUGGGUGGUAAAUUCCAUCUAAAGCUAAAUAUGGGCGAAAGACCGAUAGCGAACAAGUACCGUGAGGGAAAGAUGAAAAGCACUUUGGAAAGAGAGUUAAACAGUACGUGAAAUUGUUGAAAGGGAAACGCUUGAAGUCAGUCGCGUCUUCAGAAACUCAGCCGGGCUUCUGCCUGGUGUACUUUUCUGUGGGACGGGCCAGCAUCAGUUUCGGCCGCCAGAAAAAGGUGGGAGGAAGGUGGCACCUCCGGGUGUGUUAUAGCCUCUCAUCGUAUGUGGCGGCGGGGACUGAGGAUCGCAGCACGCCUUCAUGGCCGGGGUUCGCCCACGUAACGUGCUUAGGAUGCUGGCGUAAUGGCUUUAA
RNAcentral lists this ribosomal RNA (577 nucleotides) under Geastrum saccatum. RNAcentral describes it as "eukaryotic LSU rRNA". It matches the Rfam family "Eukaryotic large subunit ribosomal RNA", at positions 85 to 643 of the family's 3401-position model. Lineage: Eukaryota; Fungi; Basidiomycota; Agaricomycetes; Geastrales; Geastraceae. The record is from RNAcentral.